UACGGGGCGCACGAGGCGCGAAAACUUUACAAUGCUGGAAACAGCGAUAAGGGGACCUCGAGUGCCAGGUUACAAAUCUGGCUGUCGUGAUGCCUAAAAAGCAUUGCAUAGCAAGGGCCGGGCAAGACCGGUGCCAGCCGCCGCGGUAACACCGGCGGCUCGAGUGGUAACCGUUAUUAUUGGGUCUAAAGGGUCUGUAGCCGGCCGGAUAAGUCUCUUGGGAAAUCUGGCAGCUUAACUGUCAGGCUUUCAGGAGAUACUGUCUGGCUCGAGGCCGGGAGAGGUGAGAGGUACUUCAGGGGUAGGGGUGAAAUCUUGUAAUCCUUGAAGGACCACCAGUGGCGAAGGCGUCUCNNNAGAACGGACCUGACGGCAAGGGACGAAAGCUAGGGGCACGAACCGGAUUAGAUACCCGGGUAGUCCUAGCCGUAAACGAUACUCGCUAGGUGUCGGCCACGGUGCGACCGUUGUCGGUGCCGUAGGGAAGCCGUGAAGCGAGCCACCUGGGAAGUACGGCCGCAAGGCUGAAACUUAAAGGAAUUGGCGGGGGAGCACCACAACGGGUGGAGCUUGCGGUUUAAUUGGAUUCAACGCCGGAAAUCUUACCGGGACCGACAGCAAUAUGAAGGCCAGGCUGAAGACUUUGCCGGAUUANNNNAGAGGUGGUGCAUGGCCGUCGUCAGUUCGUACUGUGAAGCAUCCUGUUAAGUCAGGCAACGAGCGAGACCCACGCCCACAGUUGCCAGCGUACUCUCCGGAGUGACGGGUACACUGUGGGGACCGCCGCUGCUAAAGCGGAGGAAGGCAUGGGCAACGGUAGGUCAGUAUGCCCCGAAUAUCCCGGGCUACACGCGAGCUACAAUGGUUGGUACAAUGGGUAUCUACCCCGAAAGGGGAUGGAAAUCUCCUAAAGCCAAUCUUAGUCCGGAUUGAGGGCUGCAACUCGCCCUCAUGAAGCUGGAAUCCGUAGUAAUCGCGUUUCAACAGAACGCGGUGAAUACGUCCCUGCUCCUUGCACACACCG
Molecule: ribosomal RNA, 1024 nt
Filed under: uncultured archaeon SJD-111
Lineage: Archaea
Description: bacterial SSU rRNA
Rfam family: Archaeal small subunit ribosomal RNA
Source: RNAcentral